UUCGAGUGGCGGACGGGUGAGUAACGCGUGGGUAACCUGCCUUACACAGGGGGAUAACACCUGGAAACAGGUGCUAAUACCGCAUAAGCGCACAGGGCCGCAUGGCCCGGUGUGAAAAACUCCGGUGGUGUAAGAUGGACCCGCGUCUGAUUAGCUUGUUGGCGGGGUAGGGGCCCACCAAGGCGACGAUCAGUAGCCGGCCUGAGAGGGUGGACGGCCACAUUGGGACUGAGACACGGCCCGAACUCCUACGGAAGGCAGCAG
This 264-nucleotide ribosomal RNA is filed under the name uncultured bacterium. Its description in RNAcentral is "partial 16S ribosomal RNA". It matches the Rfam family "Bacterial small subunit ribosomal RNA", at positions 90 to 354 of the family's 1533-position model. The record is from RNAcentral.